GAAGUUUCGUACAUAAUUUUAUUUUCUCUGUUCCUUGAUAGUAGGUAAUGACAUCUUUUUCUCCACUUUAUCAAAUAAAUCAGCUGAUUCUAAUUUGUGAAUGCUAAUAAUAAUUUAUUUACAAAAAGAUGAAUAACUACAAUUAUUAGUAGUGACACCAGAUAUAUUACACGUGUCAAGUUGUUGACUGCCUGUCUACCAAUAUAAUGGUAUUGAUAAAGAUCACGUUAAGUAUUAAAGAUAAAGAAGAGACAAAAUAC
This 260-nucleotide unclassified non-coding RNA is filed under the name Hevea brasiliensis (rubber tree). Lineage: Eukaryota; Viridiplantae; Streptophyta; Magnoliopsida; Malpighiales; Euphorbiaceae. The record is from RNAcentral.